Molecule: long non-coding RNA, 343 nt
Filed under: Pelobates cultripes (western spadefoot toad)
Lineage: Eukaryota; Metazoa; Chordata; Amphibia; Anura; Pelobatidae
Source: RNAcentral
CAAAACAAAAUUCCUUGCUCUUGAUUGAGCACUUACUAUACACUAUCUGGAAUUGGGUGGCUUUCCCACUUGCCAAUUUACAAAAAGUAAAACUGCAAGUCACCAUUCCUCUGGCUUUUCCUCCUCACCCUGCAGUAUGCUGAUCCCUUCUUUUUAAAAGCCUGCUAGCUAAUUGAUCAGAUACAGGUGAGGUGCAAUUAGACAUAAGUGAAACUACUAAGCAAAAUAAAAGUUCUGGUCCGACUGUUACUUAUUAGCUGGUGCUAUUGGAGCACUGGCCCACCCUGCUCUCCAAGUGCUCCGCCCCAGGGACCCAUACCGUGCUUUGCAGAGUACCAGUAAU